RNAcentral lists this ribosomal RNA (884 nucleotides) under uncultured archaeon pPCA12.6. RNAcentral's name for it is "bacterial SSU rRNA". It matches the Rfam family "Archaeal small subunit ribosomal RNA", at positions 21 to 903 of the family's 1478-position model. The record is from RNAcentral.
AGCCACUGCUAUGGGGGUCCGACUAAGCCAUGCGAGUCAUGGGGCGCCUUGCGCGCACCGGCGGACGGCUCAGUAACACGUCGGUAACCUACCCUCGGGAGGGGGAUAACCCCGGGAAACUGGGGCUAAUCCCCCAUAGGCCUGAGGUACUGGAAGGUCCUCAGGCCGAAAGGGACUCUGUCCGCCCGAGGAUGGGCCGGCGGCCGAUUAGGUAGUUGGUGGGGUAACGGCCCACCAAGCCGAAGAUCGAUACGGGCCAUGAGAGUGGGAGCCCGGAGAUGGACACUGAGACACGGGUCCAGGCCCUACGGGGCGCAGCAGGCGCGAAACCUCCGCAAUGCGGGCAACCGCGACGGGGGGACCCCCAGUGCCGUGGCAUCGCCACGGCUUUUCCGGAGUGUAAAGGGCUCCGGGAAUAAGGGCUGGGCAAGGCCGGUGGCAGCCGCCGCGGUAAUACCGGCGGCCCGAGUGGUGGCCGCUAUUAUUGGGCCUAAAGCGUCCGUAGCCGGGCCCGUAAGUCCCUGGCGAAAUCUCACGGCUCAACCGUGGGGCUUGCUGGGGAUACUGCGGGCCUUGGGACCGGGAGAGGCGGAGGGUACCCCUGGGGUAGGGGUGAAAUCCUGUAAUCCCAGGGGGACCGCCAGUGGCGAAGGCGCUCCGCUGGAACGGGUCCGACGGUGAGGGACGAAGGCCAGGGGAGCAAACCGGAUUAGAUACCCGGGUAGUCCUGGCUGUAAAGGAUGCGGGCUAGAUGUCGGGUGAGCUUCGUGCUCGCCCGGUGCCGAAGGGAAGCCGUUAAGCCCGCCGCCUGGGGAGUACGGCCGCAAGGCUGAAACUUAAAGGUAUUGGCGGGGGAGCACUACAAGGGGUGGAGCGUGCGGUUU